UAAGGCUGAUAUCAGGAUGAAAUAAAUCAGAGCAGUGCUUGGCACCGGUUAGUACUCGCUCACUCAGUGUCAGCUAAGGGACAAAUCCUGGGAGGCUGCCAUGUGCCAGGUCUGUGCUGGGGGCUGGUCGUAGAUGGUUGGCAGACACAGACUCGCCUCCAGGGCACUUGCAGGAAUAAUGGGGAGACUGGGACAUCAACAGAUCAUUUCAAAGGGUCACUGCCCAAGCCCAAGAGGCUGCAGCGUGUGCGUCCAGAAACUUUACCUGGGAGGGGGUCCAGGAGAGGAGCAAAACCUACAAGGAGAGGCCUGAGGGCAUGGAGGGCAAGUUUGUGUUUGUUGCAGCCUUUCAGACAUGUCUUGCCUUGGGUGUUUGCGGCCAGUCCUCACACUCUGUACCGGUCAUCGGAUGAGAUGUUCAGUGAUUCUCUCUUGGUUUAUGGCCACUGCAGCUCUGAUGGGCCUGCUAGCGGACAGGACCUUGGAGUUGUUUGCAUUUGGGACUUAUACAAAAACACUUUUGAUGAACAUCUUUUAUACCAUAAACACCUGUCUGAACUUCUGUGUUCAAAGCAUAAGGGUGGAAUGGCUGCAUGAAAGAACCUGUUGUUCAACCACAUUCCACAGAUGUACCAGCUUUUAUUCCAAAAAGAAGCAUGUAUUUAUGCCUAUUUUACCACACCUUUGCCAGCAUCGAAUAUUGUAUUUAAACUAAUUGCUAGUUUUAUGGAUGAAAAACAAAGUUCCAUUGUUUUGUUUUAUAUUUCUUUGUAAAUAGCCUAUAAGACAGAACUUUCUCCCUUUGUUAUUUGUCUCUUUGUUAGAAAGUCUAUGGCACUUUCAUUUUUGUUAUUGAUAUUUAAGGCUUUAUGUGAUUUAAAUGCCCCUCUAAUUCUCCAUGCUCCCCGGGCUACCACAUGUAUUCAUGCCAUCUUCCCCCACCAUGGAAACCAUGCUGAGAAGGGGAUUUCAGCCCACUAGUAGAGGAAAAAAAUGAACUGAAUUGACUCAUACAUCUUUUUUUGAAUAAAUGUCUACUCAG
Long non-coding RNA from Canis lupus familiaris (dog), 1042 nucleotides. RefSeq lists it as uncharacterized. The transcript has 3 exons. NCBI's taxonomy places the organism in Eukaryota, Metazoa, Chordata, Mammalia, Carnivora, Canidae. The record is from RefSeq and is a predicted model, not a curated record.